RNAcentral lists this long non-coding RNA (2193 nucleotides) under Homo sapiens (human). RNAcentral describes it as "MAP3K9 divergent transcript". Lineage: Eukaryota; Metazoa; Chordata; Mammalia; Primates; Hominidae. The record is from RNAcentral.
GCUGCCUUUGUUUGCCAUGGAUGGGUAGGGGCUGCACUGAGCAGCACCGGUGUUCUUCAUCCGGCUGCACCCCCAACAGAGCUCUUUCUUCCCCAGAUCCCUUUUACAGUUGGAUUCUCCCUCUUGGAUCUGGCUCUGCCUUAGUCCGACCUAGAGGGAUCAGCUUCGCCCACGCCCACUCUCACCCGGAACCUUUCAUCUCUUAUUGAAGCCUUUUAGGCCCAUUGGGAUGUUCAUUAGAACUCUGAAAACUACAGUUCUCCCCUUUAUGAGGACUGCACCACAGCUCGCCCUCUCCUGGGUUCCGGUAAGAAGAGAUUCCAAUACCACUCUUUUUUCAGAAUUCAGAAAGGCAAGAGACCACCUUACUGAGCUUCAAACUGGGGCUGGGAACGCUGCCAUGAAUUGGGCUUGGUCUGUCUGAAGGGAGCCACCUUUUCGACAAUCCUUAGACUUCUUUUGCCUGUUGGAAUUACACCUUGGAUCGUGGCGAAGUCUAUAGAGGUCAGAUUAAGAAGAACCAAAGCAGAAUAAACGUAGAACCCGAUGCUGAGUUCACGAGUGAGGACGACCUCUUCCUAUAUGCUUUGCUAUACCCUGCGUUUUGAACAUUAAGGACGAGAUAGGAGGCCCAUAAUGUUUCUUCUUGCUUUAAUCCUGUCGUGGCAACGUUGACUUCCAGUAAGAAAGAAACAAGGUCUCACUGUGUCACCCAGGCUGGAGAGCAGUGGCACGAUCAUAGCUCACUGAUCACAUGGCAGCCUCAAACUCCUGGACUCAGUGGGUCCUCCUGCCUCAGCAUCCUGAGUAGCUGGGACUACAGGUGCGUGCCACCACACCUGGCAAAUUUUGUUAAUUUUUGGUAGAGAUAAGGACUCACUGUGUUGCCCAGGCUGGCUUCAAACUCUUGGCCUCAAGUGAUCCUCCUGCCUCCAUCUCUUCAAAUGCUGGGAUUACAGGUUUGAGCCACCGUGCCUGGCCCCUUUGACCUUUUCUAAAAGAGCCAGCCCACCACUUUCACCUCUCAUGUGUACCAUUUCAGGAAAGAAGCCCUAGUUCCUGUUUCAUAAACUCCAUUUGCAUUAAAUAUGAUUUUAGGCAAAUGGUUUGGGCAGAUAUGUGGCAGGGCUGAUGGAACAGACCUGUGGAGUCAGACCCAGACAAGUCUUGAUCAACUUGUCAUGACUGUGGGAGGCCUUUCACCUCUCUGAGCCUCUGUUUCAUUGUUGGUAACAUGAGAUUGUAUAAAAUGGGGUUGCUGUGAAGGUUAGAUGAAGUAAGAGGUCCUCCUGGCAGUGCCUAAUACAUAAUAAUAAGUGCUUAAUAAAUUGUAAAUGUUAUUACAGUUGAUAGUAUUUAAUUCCUCUAUGAGGAAUUAUGAGUUAAUGUAGCUUGAACCACCAAAAAGGUAAGAAAUCUUUCCUCUUUUAGGAAAACCUCAGUUCAGAAAAGCAAUAAACUAUGGGGGGGGUGGCUGUUUAGAAUGUUGCAUCUCUGGAGAGCAAGUUGCAUUUUAACAAUGAUCAGAGCCUUUAAUUAAGGAGUGAAGGUCAAAUCAUUUCUGCUUCAUCCAGCCUGGUUGCAGAGUGAGCCCAUGGGACAGCCCUCUGAAAUUAUACUGCUUACAACCAUGCUGAGUCUGCAAGGACUUCGUCCAAGCCUUUCCGUCCAGGACCUCAAACAGAUCCAAUCACAAGAAGAGAGAUUUCAGGAAAGAGAAAAUUAUUCCUAUCAUCGGGGUUUUUGAAGAACAUGAAAUGACUGGGAAAAUAAUCAUGUUAAGUGGAAAAAAAAAAGAAAUCUAUCUGUUGUAAUUUUCAAAUAAUUUUUAAAUAAAUUUGAAAAAUUAAGAGAACUAUAUAUAUAAUACAUUCCUAAUCUUGUGAAAAAUAUAUAUGCAUUAAUAUUAUUGAAAGAAAUAUAUCAAAAGGUGAACAGCAAUUAUCACCAAUCUAGAUUAUGAGAUUAGGAGUGAUUUUUUUUCUUUGUCCUAUACUAUUUAAUAUUUUCUACCAUUAAAAUAUUCUGAUUUUCUAAUUAGAAUAGUACGUUAGACAAAGAAGGACAAAUAUCACAUGAACUCUCACUCUCUUAUGGAACAGAUCUUGUGGAAUCUAAAAAAGUUGAACUCAUAGAAAAAGAGGAAAAUGAUGGUUACCAGUUAGAAAAAAGGAAUAAGUUCAAGAGAUCUAU